This is a long non-coding RNA of Musca domestica (house fly), 1310 nucleotides long. RefSeq lists it as uncharacterized. The transcript is spliced from 8 exons. The record is from RefSeq and is a predicted model, not a curated record. NCBI's taxonomy places the organism in Eukaryota, Metazoa, Arthropoda, Insecta, Diptera, Muscidae.
CAAAAAUUCAAAUGUAACUUUAAAGAUUUCAACUUUUGUAAAUAUUUGGUUUCGUUUUGAAUUAUAACAAGCAAAAAAGAAGGUUCCAGAUGACUGCAUAAGAAGGUUGAAGUGGUCACAAGCAUGUGAAAUUUCAUUUGGACCAAAUGACCGCAUUUGCGAAGCCCACUUUUUAACAAGUGAUAUAGUGUUUCGGAAUUCGAGGAUGCGUUGAUGCCGACCGCUAUUCCAUUGGCUACUGCGAAAAAUAAUCAUGAAACGAAUGUCAUCAGCUUUCCAGGAGAACGGAAUGAAAUAGAUUUUCAAAUUGGAUAAGAUCGUUUUUCUUUUUUUCCUCGAAAAAAAUAUUGGAUUUUUCAAUAUACUCCUUUUCAGAAUGAAACAAGAUCAAAUGGAAACAGACAACACUUUAUUUGAAUACACAAUUAAAAUGAACGAUUCUGAGACACAGACUGAAAUAGCAAAAUAUAAAAUUAGCGGCUUAAUUAAUUUCAAAUACUACGGCAAACGCAAUUCUAAGAUGUUAUGCUCAUGGAUUAGCGGUAUAUAAAGCUCAUAUUACGGCUGAAUUUAUUCAACUAGUGAACGACUGUCCCUAACACAAAUAUAAAUACUUUUAAAUAUCCUGGAAAAGAACCAUUUAGAAUAUCGUAUGGAUAGAAAAUGGAAAUCCUCGAGGAAAUGACAAAAGCUGCAUCUGUACCUAUGAUUCUGGGAAGGAAAAAUUAAAUCAAGAUUUAUUGGAACAGUUUUUCGGUGCCUUAAGAAGCGGGGGAGACUUGAACGACCACUCAACCCCUUAAGAAAGUUAAAUACCAUAUGAGGAAAUAUAUAUAUUGGCUCGAAACACAGCACUUUUAGAAAGCACUGGAAACGUACUACCUACUCAACCCACUGGAUUACAUCAAGUAAAAUUCCUGGUACCUUGCCAAUAAACCCACUUGUAUGUAAAUAAAUCGAUCAAGAUCAGAACUUUCAAAUUCAAGAAUUAGAAAAUUACGAUUUGGAAGAUAUAGAAAAUGUCGAAUUUCAAUUUAUAGAAAAUUAAUAUUUCAAAGACUUAAGUAGUCUUAAAAAAGAUGUACUGGAAUAUAUAGCAGGGAAUAUUAUUCAGAAGUUCAAUCUUGAUGAGUACUUAAAAGAGUUCUCACCAAGGUUGACCAGAUUUCCAAAGGGUCCCUUAAAAAAAAAACAACCAAAGGCCUUUUUCAUAAAAACUAUUAUCUAAAAUUGAUCAUCAGGAAGAACUUCACAGCCGGAUUACCAAAAUGAGUUCGUUGGUAGUUAAUGUUAUGUCAUCCUUUUUUUAA